RNAcentral lists this ribosomal RNA (253 nucleotides) under uncultured bacterium. Its description in RNAcentral is "partial 16S ribosomal RNA". It matches the Rfam family "Bacterial small subunit ribosomal RNA", at positions 524 to 776 of the family's 1533-position model. The record is from RNAcentral.
UACAGAGGGCUCAAGCGUUGUUCGGAUUCAUUGGGCGUAAAGGGCGCGUAGGCGGCGCGGCAAGUCGGGUGUGAAAUCUCGGGGCUUAACUCCGGAACUGCAUUCGAUACUGCCGUGCUUGAGGACUGGAGAGGAGACUGGAAUUUACGGUGUAGCGGUGAAAUGCGUAGAUAUCGUAAGGAAGACCAGUGGCGAAGGCGGGUCUCUGGACAGUUCCUGACGCUGAGGCACGAAGGCCAGGGGAGCAAACGGG